GACGUAGGAUGCAAGCGUCGUCCGGAUUUAUUGGGUGUAAAGAGUUCGUAGGCGGUUUGUUAAGUCUGAUGUUAAAGAUCGGGGCCCAACCCCGAGACUGCAUUGGAUACUGGCAGACUUGAGUGUGGUAGAGGUAAGUGGAAUUUCUGGUGUGGCGGUGAAAUGCGUAGAUGUCAGAAAGAACACCAGUGGCGUAGGCGACUUACUGGGCCAUAACUGACGCUGAGGAACGAAAGCCAGGGGAGCAAAUGGG
Molecule: ribosomal RNA, 253 nt
Filed under: uncultured bacterium
Lineage: Bacteria
Description: partial 16S ribosomal RNA
Rfam family: Bacterial small subunit ribosomal RNA
Source: RNAcentral